UAUGGUCAAGUGAAGAAGCGCAUACGGUGGAUGCCUUGGCAGUCAGAGGCGAUGAAAGACGUGGUAGCCUGCGAAAAGCUUCGGGGAGUCGGCAAACAGACUUUGAUCCGGAGAUGUCUGAAUGGGGGAACCCAGCCAUCACAAGAUGGUUAUCUUGUACUGAAUACAUAGGUGCAAGAGGCGAACCAGGGGAACUGAAACAUCUAAGUACCCUGAGGAAAAGAAAUCAACCGAGAUUCCCUUAGUAGUGGCGAGCGAACGGGGACUAGCCCUUAAGUGGCUUUGAGAUUAGCGGAACGCUCUGGAAAGUGCGGCCAUAGUGGGUGAUAGCCCUGUACGCGAAAAUCUCUUAGUCAUGAAAUCGAGUAGGACGGAGCACGAGAAACUUUGUCUGAAUAUGGGGGGACCAUCCUCCAAGGCUAAAUACUACUGACUGACCGAUAGUGAACUAGUACCGUGAGGGAAAGGCGAAAAGAACCCCGGAGAGGGGAGUGAAAUAGAUCCUGAAACCGUAUGCGUACAAGCAGUGGGAGCCCACUUUGUUGGGUGACUGCGUACCUUUUGUAUAAUGGGUCAGCGACUUAUUUUCAGUGGCGAGCUUAACCGAAUAGGGGAGGCGUAGCGAAAGCGAGUCUUAAUAGGGCGUCUAGUCGCUGGGAAUAGACCCGAAACCGGGCGAUCUAUCCAUGGGCAGGUUGAAGGUUAGGUAACACUGACUGGAGGACCGAACCGACUACCGUUGAAAAGUUAGCGGAUGACCUGUGGAUCGGAGUGAAAGGCUAAUCAAGCUCGGAGAUAGCUGGUUCUCCUCGAAAGCUAUUUAGGUAGCGCCUCAUGUAUCACUGUAGGGGGUAGAGCACUGUUUCGGCUAGGGGGUCAUCCCGACUUACCAAACCGAUGCAAACUCCGAAUACCUACAAGUGCCGAGCAUGGGAGACACACGGCGGGUGCUAACGUCCGUCGUGAAAAGGGAAACAACCCAGACCGUCAGCUAAGGUCCCAAAGUUAUGGUUAAGUGGGAAACGAUGUGGGAAGGCUUAGACAGCUAGGAGGUUGGCUUAGAAGCAGCCACCCUUUAAAGAAAGCGUAAUAGCUCACUAGUCGAGUCGGCCUGCGCGGAAGAUGUAACGGGGCUCAAACCAUACACCGAAGCUACGGGUAUCAUCUUAGGAUGAUGCGGUAGAGGAGCGUUCUGUAAGCCUGUGAAGGUGAGUUGAGAAGCUUGCUGGAGGUAUCAGAAGUGCGAAUGCUGACAUGAGUAACGACAAUGGGUGUGAAAAACACCCACGCCGAAAGACCAAGGUUUCCUGCGCAACGUUAAUCGACGCAGGGUUAGUCGGUCCCUAAGGCGAGGCUGAAAAGCGUAGUCGAUGGAAAACAGGUUAAUAUUCCUGUACUUCUGGUUAUUGCGAUGGAGGGACGGAGAAGGCUAGGCCAGCUUGGCGUUGGUUGUCCAAGUUUAAGGUGGUAGGCUGAGAUCUUAGGUAAAUCCGGGAUCUUAAGGCCGAGAGCUGAUGACGAGUUACCCUUUGGGUGACGAAGUGGUUGAUGCCAUGCUUCCAAGAAAAGCUUCUAAGCUUCAGGUAACCAGGAACCGUACCCCAAACCGACACAGGUGGUUGGGUAGAGAAUACCAAGGCGCUUGAGAGAACUCGGGUGAAGGAACUAGGCAAAAUGGCACCGUAACUUCGGGAGAAGGUGCGCCGGUGAGGGUGAAGGACUUGCUCCGUAAGCUCAUGCCGGUCGAAGAUACCAGGCCGCUGCGACUGUUUAUUAAAAACACAGCACUCUGCAAACACGAAAGUGGACGUAUAGGGUGUGACGCCUGCCCGGUGCCGGAAGGUUAAUUGAUGGGGUUAGCUAACGCGAAGCUCUUGAUCGAAGCCCCGGUAAACGGCGGCCGUAACUAUAACGGUCCUAAGGUAGCGAAAUUCCUUGUCGGGUAAGUUCCGACCUGCACGAAUGGCGUAACGAUGGCGGCGCUGUCUCCACCCGAGACUCAGUGAAAUUGAAAUCGCUGUGAAGAUGCAGUGUAUCCGCGGCUAGACGGAAAGACCCCGUGAACCUUUACUAUAGCUUUGCACUGGACUUUGAAUUUGCUUGUGUAGGAUAGGUGGGAGGCUUUGAAGCGUGGACGCCAGUUCGCGUGGAGCCAUCCUUGAAAUACCACCCUGGCAACUUUGAGGUUCUAACUCAGGUCCGUUAUCCGGAUCGAGGACAGUGUAUGGUGGGUAGUUUGACUGGGGCGGUCUCCUCCUAAAGAGUAACGGAGGAGUACGAAGGUGCGCUCAGACCGGUCGGAAAUCGGUCGUAGAGUAUAAAGGCAAAAGCGCGCUUGACUGCGAGACAGACACGUCGAGCAGGUACGAAAGUAGGUCUUAGUGAUCCGGUGGUUCUGUAUGGAAGGGCCAUCGCUCAACGGAUAAAAGGUACUCCGGGGAUAACAGGCUGAUACCGCCCAAGAGUUCAUAUCGACGGCGGUGUUUGGCACCUCGAUGUCGGCUCAUCACAUCCUGGGGCUGAAGCCGGUCCCAAGGGUAUGGCUGUUCGCCAUUUAAAGUGGUACGCGAGCUGGGUUUAGAACGUCGUGAGACAGUUCGGUCCCUAUCUGCCGUGGACGUUUGAGAUUUGAGAGGGGCUGCUCCUAGUACGAGAGGACCGGAGUGGACGAACCUCUGGUGUUCCGGUUGUCACGCCAGUGGCAUUGCCGGGUAGCUAUGUUCGGGAAAGAUAACCGCUGAAAGCAUCUAAGCGGGAAACUUGCCUCAAGAUGAGAUCUCACUGGAACCUUGAGUUCCCUGAAGGGCCGUCGAAGACUACGACGUUGAUAGGUUGGGUGUGUAAGCGCUGUGAGGCGUUGAGCUAACCAAUACUAAUUGCCCGUGAGGCUUGACCAUA
RNAcentral lists this ribosomal RNA (2898 nucleotides) under Pseudomonas granadensis. RNAcentral describes it as "bacterial LSU rRNA". It matches the Rfam family "Bacterial large subunit ribosomal RNA". The record is from RNAcentral. Lineage: Bacteria; Pseudomonadati; Pseudomonadota; Gammaproteobacteria; Pseudomonadales; Pseudomonadaceae.